AUGUGAAUGGUGGGCCAGUAUGGAGUCAGCUCCCAUCACCUGCUUGCUGUCUGUCCAGUAGCUCCACCCUUCCCAUUUUCUCUCUCUCCUUCUGUCAGCAAUGAGAGUCCCCUUUUUUUCUGGGCUUCAUUACCCUGUGGCUGAUGCUGAAGAAAAUAUAGAUUCUUGAGAUGUUAGCAAAUGGGGACCAGCAGCGGAGACCCAAAGCAGCACAUUUACAGAGCAAAGUCUGCAUCCCGUGCCUGAGUUUUGCUCUUGAAAAGCAGGCUGCAGAUCAGCGGGCUCAACCCCACCCAGAGAGGCCGACACACGGGCCGGCAGGAUGCUCCACACCCAGCCUCACAGACAGAGCCCAAGAAAUAGCGGCUGACGGGGAAAUCAAGUCCUGGAGAGGAUCCUGGAGGAAGUCACACGGCUGGGCUGGGACAAGAGCCCACAUGUCCCCACCCAGUUUCACCCUCUUGCCACAACUGUACUUCCUGGAUUUUUGUCUGUCCCAUACUGUGCAUAUUAGAGGUCAAUGGUUCCCGGGAUGGCCCUGAGGACACAGCAAGGAGAAGGUGGUCUCGGAGUUGGGAGCUGCUUCAACGUGUCUGAAAGAGGUCUUCAACUACGUCCAUUUUGACCUCAGUCUGAACUUUCUAAUUGAUUAAAUUCUUUCCAGCUUAUCUCUUAACUCAGGAAGAAGACCCUGUGGACAAAGCAUCCCUUAAUGGGAACUAAAACUAUCCCCUCAAGCAAUAGGGACUGCUGACACCUGACUCUUGACUGACCCCAAAACAAUGAUGGACCUGACCUGUACUGCCCACCUGUACCUACCAAUCUUAGUCCCACAUUUUCCUUAUGUAAACCUACAAGCACCUUGAGGACACUAGUCCACUGUCUUCCUUGUGUUGGCCUCACUGAAAUAAAUUCUUUUCUUGUUUUACCUCCA
Long non-coding RNA from Suricata suricatta (meerkat), 934 nucleotides. RefSeq lists it as uncharacterized. Lineage: Eukaryota; Metazoa; Chordata; Mammalia; Carnivora; Herpestidae. The record is from RefSeq and is a predicted model, not a curated record. The transcript has 2 exons.